This 200-nucleotide unclassified non-coding RNA is filed under the name Sebacina sp. Its description in RNAcentral is "partial internal transcribed spacer 2". The record is from RNAcentral. Lineage: Eukaryota; Fungi; Basidiomycota; Agaricomycetes; Sebacinales; Sebacinaceae.
UUAAGUUCAGCGGGUAGUCCUACUCGAUUUGAGGUCAAGUUGUCAGAGAGUGUCCUAAGACAGUUAGAAGCCCAGAGCUCCCAAUCGGCCACCCCCUUGCGAGGCGCCGGCGAAGACACUUAUCACGCCGUACUAUGUCCAACCAAGAGUUGCACUAAUGCAUUUGAGGUGAGCUGCAGUAAAGCAGCAACACCCAAGUC